This 433-nucleotide ribosomal RNA is filed under the name uncultured bacterium. Its description in RNAcentral is "partial 16S ribosomal RNA". It matches the Rfam family "Bacterial small subunit ribosomal RNA", at positions 29 to 507 of the family's 1533-position model. The record is from RNAcentral.
AACGAACGCUGGCGGCAUGCCUAACACAUGCAAGUCGAACGAGACCUUCGGGUCUAGUGGCGCACGGGUGCGUAACGCGUGGGAAUCUGCCCUUGGGUUCGGAAUAACAGUGAGAAAUUACUGCUAAUACCGGAUGAUGUCUUCGGACCAAAGAUUUAUCGCCCAGGGAUGAGCCCGCGUAGGAUUAGCUAGUUGGUGGGGUAAUGGCCUACCAAGGCGACGAUCCUUAGCUGGUCUGAGAGGAUGAUCAGCCACACUGGGACUGAGACACGGCCCAGACUCCUACGGGAGGCAGCAGUGGGGAAUAUUGGAAAAUGGGCGCAAGCCUGAUCCAGCAAUGCCGCGUGAGUGAUGAAGGCCUUAGGGUUGUAAAGCUCUUUUACCCGGGAUGAUAAUGACAGUACCGGGAGAAUAAGCUCCGGCUAACUCCGUG